Long non-coding RNA from Ailuropoda melanoleuca (giant panda), 285 nucleotides. RefSeq lists it as uncharacterized. The record is from RefSeq and is a predicted model, not a curated record. Lineage: Eukaryota; Metazoa; Chordata; Mammalia; Carnivora; Ursidae. The transcript is spliced from 4 exons.
CCGGGAGCUCUCGAGGUGUCUGGAGGCCUACUGAGCCCCGGACCCAGGAGGCCCAAGGAGCUGGAGGUGACCCUGAGGCAGCAAGACCCCAGAGGAAGGGUGUGAGCCCCGCAGACGGCUGUGCGGUACCCCAGGCUGGGCUCCUGUUAGGAGGGGGUGCCUGUGCCCAGGCAGCGGCUCAAAGGCAGCUGCUCCAUGCAGAACUGAAGCUGGUUUUGCAGCAGAAGCAGGAGCCUGGGGCCCGGGUGACUCCCAGCAGUGCCAUGGAGGCCAGGAGCCGCAGUG